AUACGUAGGUGGCAAGCGUUGUCCGGAUUUACUGGGUGUAAAGGGCGCGUAGGCGGGCAGGCAAGUCAGAUGUGAAAUCUCCGGGCUCAACCCGGAAAUUGCAUUUGAAACUGCAGGUCUUGAGUAUCGGAGAGGCAAGCGGAAUUCCUAGUGUAGCGGUGAAAUGCGUAGAUAUUAGGAGGAACACCGGUGGCGAAGGCGGCUUACUGGACUGUAACUGACGCUGAGGCUCGAAAGCGUGGGGAGCAAACAAGAUUAGAUACCCUGGUAGUCCUCGCUGUAAACGAUGAUUACUAGGUGUGGGGGGCCUGACCCCUUCCGUGCCGCAGUUAACACAAUAAGUAAUCCACCUGGGGAGUACGGCCGCAAGGUGGAAACUCAAAUGAAUUGACGGGG
This 396-nucleotide ribosomal RNA is filed under the name uncultured bacterium. RNAcentral's name for it is "partial 16S ribosomal RNA". It matches the Rfam family "Bacterial small subunit ribosomal RNA", at positions 523 to 918 of the family's 1533-position model. The record is from RNAcentral.